Molecule: ribosomal RNA, 406 nt
Filed under: uncultured bacterium
Lineage: Bacteria
Description: partial 16S ribosomal RNA
Rfam family: Bacterial small subunit ribosomal RNA
Source: RNAcentral
AUUGAACGCUGUCGUCAGGCUUAACACAUGCAAGUCGAGCGAGCGGCGGACGUUUGAGUAAUGUUUGGGAAACUCCCUGAUGGAGGGGGAUAACUACUGGAAACUGUAGCUUAUCCCGCAUACCAUAAGAUGUUCCCAGAUGGGAUUCUCUAGUUGUUGGGGUAAUGGCUCACCUAGGCGACGAUCCCUAGCUGGUCUGAGAGGAUGACCAGCCACACUGGAACUGAGACACGGUCCAGACUCCUACGGGAGGCAGCAGUGGGGAAUAUUGCACAAUGGGGGCAAGCCUGAUGCAGCCAUGCCGCGUGUGUGAAGAAGGCCUUCGGGUUGUAAAGCACUUUCAGCGAGGAGGCGUUAAUCGCAGAAGAAGCACCGGCUAACUCCGUGCCAGCAGCCGCGGUAAUAC